This 715-nucleotide ribosomal RNA is filed under the name uncultured bacterium. RNAcentral describes it as "bacterial SSU rRNA". It matches the Rfam family "Bacterial small subunit ribosomal RNA", at positions 709 to 1425 of the family's 1533-position model. The record is from RNAcentral.
CCGAUGGCGAAGNCAGCCCCCUGGGAUAAUACUGACGUUCAUGCUCGAAAGCGUGGGUAGCAAACAGGAUUAGAUACCCUGGUAGUCCACGCCCUAAACGAUGUCAAUUAGCUGUUGGGGCAUUUGAUGCCUUAGUAGCGAAGCUAACGCGUGAAAUUGACCGCCUGGGGAGUACGGUCGCAAGAUUAAAACUCAAAGGAAUUGACGGGGACCCGCACAAGCGGUGGAUGAUGUGGAUUAAUUCGAUGCAACGCGAAGAACCUUACCUGGUCUUGACAUGUACGGAAUCUUCCAGAGACGGAAGAGUGCCUUCGGGUGCCGUAACACAGGUGCUGCAUGGCUGUCGUCAGCUCGUGUCGUGAGAUGUUGGGUUAAGUCCCGCAGCGAGCGCAACCCUUGUCAUUAGUUGCCACCAUUCAGUUGGGCACUCUAAUGAGACUGCCGGUGACAAACCGGAGGAAGGUGGGGAUGACGUCAAGUCCUCAUGGCCCUUAUGACCAGGGCUUCACACGUCAUACAAUGGUCGGUACAGAGGGUAGCCAAGCCGCGAGGUGGAGCCAAUCUCAGAAAACCGAUCGUAGUCCGGAUUGCACUCUGCAACUCGAGUGCAUGAAGUCGGAAUCGCUAGUAAUCGCAGGUCAGCAUACUGCGGUGAAUACGUUCCCGGGUCUUGUACACACCGCCCGUCACACCAUGGGAGUGGGGGAUACCAGAA